Cyprinus carpio (common carp) is the source of this 1125-nucleotide long non-coding RNA. Lineage: Eukaryota; Metazoa; Chordata; Actinopteri; Cypriniformes; Cyprinidae. The record is from Ensembl.
AUGCGGAUGAGGAAUAUGGUUAAACAUGGAUCGGAUCAGCCAGCAGCUAACACCGCUACUAACAGGCGCUCAAGGUCGAGCAGACAGCGGCAUUCAGCUCAUAGCGCAGCCGAGCCCAGGACUCUGAUAGUGGGUGACUCUAUUAUCAGAAACAUCAGUAGCAGGACUACAACAACAUGCUGCCUUCCUCAAGCAACGGUCUCUGAUGUGAACAAGGAACUUCAGAACAUUCUGAUGAAGCACAAGACUGCAAAUCGAGUCAUUAUCCAUGUGGGGAAGAAUGAUAUUCGGAAAGAGCAGUCAGUACUCCCUAAGAAGGACUUCAGUGAACUCUUUGAAACACUUCAAAGACUCAAAGUUCAGUCAUUCAUCAGUGGACCACUCCCAGCAAGGGGAACAAAAUAUGUUUUCACGGUUGCUUGGGCUGAACACAUGGCUACAAAUAUCUUGCAAUAUAAAAGGAGUGAAUUUCAUCGACAACUUCAGUCUUUUCUAGGGGCCAUAGACAACUGUUUAAACUGGAUGGCAUCCACCCAAACAAACUUGGUGCUAGAGUGCUUAAGGACAAUAUCUACUUUUCUCUCCGUCAUCCUUCAGCAGAGUUUGUCAAUCCAUUCAGCACACACACACCAGGUACGACAAGCCCACAAGGACACUGAUAACACCAUGCAGCCACAACAAGCCUUGUUGAUGGACACUAUGCCGGCUGAGCCCUGCCCACAGAGCUCCUCACAGACACAGUGUGAUGUAUCAAAACAGCUACAAGACUCGGCACCCAAGGACGACUUUCUGGAAAACAGCCAGGGAAGCCAGGACAACAUAUCACAGUCACCGGAAACACCAGAGACACAGCCCCGCUCACCGGACACAUUAUCCCUCUCUCCAGCAUCUCCACUUCUGUGCUUCUCACAGAAAAUGGAGGAAUUGGUGUAUGCUGGAACUAAACUCUCUCACUCAUUCGCUGCAAGCCCGCAGAUAUCAACAAAAAAACGGCGGGCCCCCCAACCACCAAAGCCUGUAAGCCCUGCUCCUGUGAGAGCUCUCCGACCGCUGCCACAACGCCAGGGCCCAAACCUUCCAUCUGCUGUAGGUGAACCAAAAACAACUGAUAGCAGCUCUCAGUGA